UGUAAGCGUAUACCAAAGUUGUUGCAGUUAAAACGCUCGUAGUCGGAAUUUGGCAGUUCCGGAUGUGUGCACGUCGUGUGCGCACUUCGCGGGGAUUGCUUUUGUGGUCUUGCGUAGGAUGAGGCACUUUUAUUAGUGAACGUCCUCACGCACCCACUUUUUACUGUGAGAAAAUCAGAGUGCUCAAAGCAGGCAUUUGCCGUGAAUGUAUUAGCAUGGAAUAAUAGAAUAGGACUUGGUUCUAUUUUGUUGGUUUGUUGGGACUGAGUAAUGAUUAAGAGGGACAGUUGGGGGCAUUUGUAUUUCGGUGCUAGAGGUGAAAUUCUUAGAUUACCGAAAGACAAACUGCUGCGAAAGCGUCUGCCAAGGAUGUUUUCAUUGA
Molecule: ribosomal RNA, 382 nt
Filed under: uncultured eukaryote
Lineage: Eukaryota
Description: partial 18S ribosomal RNA
Rfam family: Eukaryotic small subunit ribosomal RNA
Source: RNAcentral